Molecule: ribosomal RNA, 409 nt
Filed under: bacterium
Lineage: Bacteria
Description: partial 16S ribosomal RNA
Rfam family: Bacterial small subunit ribosomal RNA
Source: RNAcentral
UGGGGAAUAUUGCACAAUGGGCGAAAGCCUGAUGCAGCGACGCCGCGUGAGGGAUGACGGCCUUCGUGUUGUAAACCUCUUUCAGCAGGGACGAAGCGCAAGUGACGGUACCUGCAGAAGAAGCACCGGCUAACUACGUGCCAGCAGCCGCGGUAAUACGUAGGGUGCAAGCGUUGUCCGGAAUUACUGGGCGUAAAGAGUUCGUAGGCGGUUUGUCGCGUCGUUUGUGAAAACCAGCAGCUCAACUGCUGGCUUGCAGGCGAUACGGGCAGACUUGAGUACUGCAGGGGAGACUGGAAUUCCUGGUGUAGCGGUGAAAUGCGCAGAUAUCAGGAGGAACACCGGUGGCGAAGGCGGGUCUCUGGGCAGUAACUGACGCUGAGGAACGAAAGCGUGGGUAGCGAACAGG